UACGAUUCAUUAAAAAGCAAAAUUGCACAUCCCCGUGCUGGCAGCUGAGGCUGAGCCUCCCCGGGCGGAGGGGGCAUUCACUGAGUUGCCUUUGUAUGCUGGGAGGACCAAGCCGGAGGUUCCCACUAUGCAGCCCGGAGUCUGUGCAGCCAGAUGACGCAUGAGAGGCGUGGAACCUGGUGAUGAAGGCCAGACUUGAGGGACCGUAAGAAUCUGCAAUGUCCUUGCCUGCAUCCCCCACUUCCGGGCUUAGGAACUAAAGACUCAUCCAAUGUAUUAAAACAUUAAAGGACCAUUUCCGGCUAUGAGUGAGGUCUGGAUAAAGUGUGUUACCUCCUAACUGAAGUUUAGGGAGAAGUUCAGUAUCUUUAGAAAUAGUAACCCCCCGGAACUGAAACUGAAGCUGACAGGAACUUCAGGCAGAAGAGACCAGUCAGCGAAGGAAAUAUCAUGCUAUCGACCCACUUGGCCUGUGCUCAGGUUGUAUUCCAGAUGUACAUGGAACAUGAGCUGAUCAUGUGCACAAAACAGCCCACCUUUAUCUCAGGAAUAUGGAAGAGAGGUGGAGAAAGAGACAGCUCAGCUCCAAAUGAGGAGUUGCCCUUUCAUAAUGCAUCAACAUUAUUGACUGGCCUGUGAUUCCUUACUUGGAGUUAAGGCACAGAGGAAAGGCCAUGUGAGGACACAGGGAGAGAUAGCCAGGAAGAGUUUUUACCAGAAACCAACCCUGCCGGCACCUUGAUCUUGGACUUCCAGCCUCCAGGACUGUAAGAAAUGAAUUUAUGCCACCCAGUCUGUGAUAUUUUGUUGUGGCAGCCCAAGCAGACUAAUAUAAGUACAUUAGUGGAAAUUAUAAAGUAAUCCGUAUUACAAUUAUUGUAUUUUAC
Molecule: long non-coding RNA, 887 nt
Organism: Rhinolophus ferrumequinum (greater horseshoe bat)
Lineage: Eukaryota; Metazoa; Chordata; Mammalia; Chiroptera; Rhinolophidae
Exons: 6
Source: RefSeq, a predicted model, not a curated record